AUUCUGAUGGUUGUGAGAAGUUGCAAGAAGUUGAGGGGCUGAAAAAAGUGGAAAAGUCACCAACUCAGCCGGAGUGGAAAGUGGGGCAAUGUCUACGUGGUAAUGGUAUUGAGAAGUUACAAGAACUUGAUGGGCUUGAUGAAUUGAGAUCAUUAGGGCUGUUACAAGGUGGGACCUCUGAGAAGUUACUCAACCAAUCGAACUAUGGAGUAUUGAGACAAUGGUAUGCCGAUGGCUGCGAGAAGGUACCAGAACUCGAGGGGCUCGAAAACCUGGAAAAUUUUCACUUAGAAGUCUUUGACGAUUCAAAUCAAUUGACAGUCUAUAAAAUUUAUAAUGGUAGAGUGCCUUUCUAGUUUUUUUGGUGGGAAAAGAUAUUACCUGUACGACACUUGGGUAUGAGUUAUAAUGAGGGAUGCAUGGGGCAGACAAAGGACUUCUCUCCUUUCCAGGUUGUUCAAUAGCAAGUGCUUGAAAGGGGUGGCCCUCAUGUUUGUAUGCAGAGGCAAGUCCUGACCAGCAAAUAUGGCUAAUAAUGGAGUCAGCUGCAGAAUGGAGAGAACAUGAUCAGACAAAACCCAGGCAAGUACUUUUCGUAAGCAAAUGUGCAAUACUGUGAAAGCAGCUUCUGCGGUCCACGCCUAGGAUGAUGAGGAGCUCCAUACUGAAGGCAGAGAAGAUAUCGGUCCUGAGCUUCUUGAAGGGAUCAGGCAGUGCGAGACCUGACAAUCUUUCGGUUGUUAGAUAAAAAUUUGGCAACUUCUUUGCGAGGAACAUGGGAGUGAUUUUUGCUUCUGGUUGCAUGGAAAGAAACACCAUGCUUCGGAAAGAUUUAUUGGUUAACUCUGGUCAGAAUUUAUAUUUGAGCUCUGUUGUUUUGGUCGUGUUUGUAAAUUGUAAUCCACCCUUUGUGGGCGAUGAAAUUGUAAUCCACCAAAGAGAGUGUUCUCUUGAGUUUGGAUUGAUCCGAGAGCUUGCCCUUGAUGAAAAACAAAGUGUAAUCUCCAUCAAUCUAGUGGAAAGUUGAUUUGGAUUUA
Molecule: non-coding RNA, 1037 nt
Organism: Punica granatum (pomegranate)
Lineage: Eukaryota; Viridiplantae; Streptophyta; Magnoliopsida; Myrtales; Lythraceae
Source: RefSeq, a predicted model, not a curated record